AUGCCUCACUUCACCGUGGUGCCGGUGGACGGGCCGCGGCGCGGCGACUAUGACAACCUCGAGGGGCUCAGUUGGGUGGACUACGGGGAGCGCGCCGAGCGGGAAGACUCGGACGGACAUGGCAACCACAGAGAGAGCAGCCCUUUUCUUUCCCCCUUGGAGGCUUCCAGAGGAAGUGACUACUAUGACAGGAACCUGGCACUGUUUGAGGAAGAGCUGGACAUCCGCCCAAAGGUAUCGUCUCUUCUGGGAAAGCUCGUCAGCUACACCAACCUCACCCAGGGCGCCAGAGAGCAUGAGGAGGCUGAGAGUGGGGAGGGCACCCGCCGGAGGGCAGCCAAGGCACCCAGCAUGGGCACCCUCAUGGGGGUGUACUUGCCCUGCCUGCAGAAUAUCUUUGGGGUUAUCCUCUUUCUGCGGCUGACCUGGAUGGUGGGCACGGCAGGUGUGCUACAGGCCCUCCUCAUUGUGCUCAUCUGCUGCUGUUGUACCCUGCUGACGGCCAUCUCCAUGAGUGCCAUCGCCACCAACGGUGUGGUUCCAGCUGGGGGCUCCUAUUUCAUGAUCUCUCGUUCACUGGGGCCAGAAUUUGGAGGUGCUGUGGGCCUGUGCUUCUACCUGGGAACAACAUUCGCAGCAGCCAUGUACAUCCUGGGGGCCAUCGAGAUCUUGCUGACCUACAUUGCCCCACCAGCUGCCAUUUUUUACCCACUGGGUGCUCAUGACACGUCGAAUGCCACUUUGAACAAUAUGCGUGUGUAUGGGACCAUUUUCCUGACCUUCAUGACCCUGGUGGUGUUUGUGGGGGUCAAGUAUGUGAACAAAUUCGCCUCGCUCUUCCUGGCCUGUGUGAUCAUCUCCAUCCUCUCCAUCUAUGCUGGGGGCAUAAAGUCUAUAUUUGACCCUCCCGUGUUUCCGGUAUGCAUGCUGGGCAACAGAACCCUGUCCCGGGACCAGUUUGACAUCUGUGCCAAGACAGCUGUAGUGGACAAUGAGACAGUGGCCACCCGGCUAUGGAGUUUCUUCUGCCAUAGCCCCAACCUUACCACCGACUCCUGUGACCCCUACUUCGUGCUCAACAAUGUGACCGAGAUCCCUGGCAUCCCCGGGGCAGCUGCUGGUGUGCUCCAGGAAAACCUGUGGAGCGCCUACCUGGAGAAGGGUGACAUCGUGGAGAAGCAUGGGCUGCCCUCCGCAGAUGCCCCGAGCCUGAAGGAGAGCCUGCCCCUGUACGUGGUUGCCGACAUCGCCACAUCCUUCACCGUGCUGGUCGGCAUCUUCUUCCCUUCCGUAACAGGUGAGCCCCGCUUGCCUACCCACCCAGCCCUGUCCCUGAUCCCGGGGAGCCCCUGAGGGAGUCUCAUCUGUUUUUGGAGGCAUCAUGGCUGGCUCAAACCGCUCUGGGGACCUCCGUGACGCCCAGAAGUCCAUCCCUGUGGGGACCAUUCUGGCCAUCAUUACAACUUCCCUCGUGUACUUCAGCAGUGUGGUUCUCUUUGGCGCCUGCAUCGAGGGUGUGGUUCUCCGGGACAAGUAUGGCGAUGGUGUCAGCAGGAACUUGGUGGUGGGCACACUGGCCUGGCCUUCACCCUGGGUCAUCGUCAUCGGCUCCUUCUUUUCAACGUGUGGUGCUGGCCUCCAGAGCCUCACAGGCGCACCACGCCUAUUGCAGGCCAUUGCCAAGGACAACAUCAUCCCCUUCCUCCAGGUGUUUGGCCACGGGAAGGUGAAUGGUGAACCCACAUGGGCACUCCUCCUGACGGCGCUCAUCGCCGAGCUGGGCAUCCUCAUCGCCUCCCUCGACAUGGUGGCCCCCAUCCUAUCCAUGUUCUUUCUGAUGUGCUACCUGUUCGUGAACCUGGCCUGUGCGGUGCAGACACUCCUGAGGACCCCCAACUGGCGGCCCCGGUUCAAGUACUAUCACUGGGCGCUGUCCUUCCUGGGCAUGAGUCUCUGCCUGGCCCUUAUGUUUGUCUCCUCCUGGUACUAUGCCCUGGUGGCCAUGCUCAUCGCCGGCAUGAUCUACAAAUACAUCGAGUACCAAGGGGCUGAGAAGGAGUGGGGUGACGGGAUCCGAGGCCUGUCCCUGAGCGCCGCCCGCUACGCGCUGUUGCGGCUGGAGGAGGGGCCUCCUCACACCAAGAACUGGCGGCCGCAGCUGCUGGUGCUCCUGAAGCUGGACGAGGACCUGCACGUGAAGUACCCGCGGCUCCUCACCUUCGCCUCCCAGCUCAAGGCCGGCAAGGGCCUGACCAUUGUUGGUUCUGUCAUCCAGGGGAGCUUCUUGGAGAGCUAUGGCGAGGCUCAGGCCGCCGAGCAGACCAUCAAGAACAUGAUGGAAAUUGAGAAGGUGAAGGGCUUCUGCCAGGUGGUGGUGGCCAGCAAGGUGCGGGAGGGGCUGGCCCACCUCAUCCAGUCCUGCGGCCUGGGCGGCAUGCGGCAUAACUCCGUGGUGCUGGGCUGGCCCUACGGCUGGCGACAGAGCGAGGACCCCCGUGCCUGGAAGACCUUCAUUGACACUGUGCGCUGCACUACGGCCGCCCACCUGGCCCUGCUCGUGCCCAAGAACAUCGCCUUCUACCCCAGCAACCACGAGCGCUACCUGGAGGGCCACAUAGACGUGUGGUGGAUCGUGCACGACGGCGGCAUGCUCAUGCUUCUGCCCUUCCUGCUGCGCCAGCAUAAGGUCUGGAGGAAGUGCCGGAUGCGCAUCUUCACAGUGGCCCAGAUGGAUGACAACAGCAUCCAGAUGAAGAAGGACCUGGCUGUCUUCCUGUACCAUCUGCGCCUUGAGGCCGAGGUGGAGGUGGUGGAGAUGGUGAGCCCCCUGCCCUGUCCUGGCCCCGUGGAUAUCAUGUCCCGUCCAGCUGAGUCCUCACGGCCAACCCUGUCCCCAGCAUAACAGUGACAUCUCUGCAUACACCUACGAGCGGACGCUGAUGAUGGAGCAGCGGUCGCAGAUGCUGCGGCAGAUGAGACUGACCAAGACUGAGCGGGAGCGAGAAGCCCAGCUGGUCAAGGAUCGGCACUCGGCCCUGCGGCUGGAGAGCCUGUACUCGGACGAGGAAGAUGAGUCUGCAGUGGGGGCUGACAAGAUCCAGAUGACGUGGACCAGGGACAAGUACAUAACUGAGACCUGGGACCCCAGCCAUGCCCCUGACAAUUUCCGGGAGCUGGUGCAUAUUAAGCCGUGAGUGCAGCAAAAACAGCCCCAGCGGCACUGGAAUCUAGGGGUGGAGGUGGGGUGGGGCAGACGAGUAGUGUUAGAUGGGCCACGGGUGGGAACCCUCCUUGCAGGAUGGCUCAUGGUGACCUGUGACUGGCUACACUAUGUGUAGGGACCAAUCCAAUGUGCGGCGCAUGCACACUGCUGUGAAGCUCAAUGAAGUCAUUGUCACGCGCUCCCACGACGCCCGCCUGGUUCUCUUAAACAUGCCUGGCCCACCCAGGAACAGUGAGGGCGACGAGAACUACAUGGAGUUCCUCGAGGUGCUGACCGAGGGCCUUGAGCGGGUGCUGUUGGUGCGCGGUGGUGGCCGUGAAGUCAUCACCAUCUACUCCUGAGCCCAGUGUCAUCUUGUGGCCUGGAGUCGAGGUCUUGGCCAGGACAUCACAAGCUGUGGUCUGGGGUAACAGCCUCUUCCCAGCACCCACCUGCCAGCCCUGCUUGCCUGGCCCUGUCCUGGACCCAGCUUUGCUAGGUCUCCUUGGAAACCAGGCCUGGGCCUCAAAAUGGAGAUGGAUCCCAGGUCUUGUGGGACCCUGGGAUGUUUGGGGACUUUACUGUCUAGCACCCCAGUAGGCCUGUCCUGGCCAGAGAAGACUGGUAGGGGCCAAGUGGGGUUUGAAGGCAGCCGGCCCAGCCCAGCCCAGCCCAGGAGCGCUAUUUAUUGCAUAUUUAUUAUUUGGAUGUCACCAUCAGAG
Molecule: small RNA, 3924 nt
Filed under: Pongo abelii (Sumatran orangutan)
Lineage: Eukaryota; Metazoa; Chordata; Mammalia; Primates; Hominidae
Description: retained intron
Source: RNAcentral